GGGGUUGUGGCUCAGUGAUAGAGCACUCACCUAGCGAGUGUGAGGCCCUGGGUUCAGUCCUCAGCACCUCA
This is a non-coding RNA of Ictidomys tridecemlineatus (thirteen-lined ground squirrel), 71 nucleotides long. The record is from Rfam. Lineage: Eukaryota; Metazoa; Chordata; Mammalia; Rodentia; Sciuridae.